CUUCAACACAGAGCAUUGGCUCACACCAAACAGCAAGUUAUAAAGGUCUCCCAAAAAGACUAGUUUAAAACCAAUCAAAUGGGAACACAAACAAUCUAAUCUAUAUAUGUAACACCCAAACGUGUCCUUCCCCCAAACGUGUCCGAUUCUCCCAAACGUGUCUUUUCUCCCUAAACGUGUCCGAAAUGUACAAUAUUUCCCAAACGUGUCCGAUUUCAUAACCCCCAAACGUGUCCGAUAAUUGUUAUUCGCCAAAUCGUGUCCAAUAUUUAACGCCAAAACGUUACACGUCUUUUAGCGCUUUUACAUGUAUCUCUUAAAUAAAAUCGCUGAUAACGUUUACGGCAAUUCUAUGAUGGGAGACACACGUGAUGAAGAUGUCAUUUAUCAGAUUAAGUUAGUUCGAUGUAGGUUUUUAAUGAUUAUAAUAAUUGCAAAAUUAAUCUGUUAUUAUUAAGUAACUUUGACUGCAGUUGUUUAUUGUCCAGUUGCAAGUAUUUCAUAUUCGUUUAGAGCGAACAUACACAUAGUUCUGGAGUUGAAUUAAUCGUUAACUUUGAUAAUUAUUUUGUACUUAUAAACUCCGAUGAUUGCCUUUUAUAUUUAUCCGAAUAUUGCAUGGCGGGGUUUUAACAGUAUUUUUUUUUACUUUUGUCAAUAGUUUGUGUGUAUUUCAAAAGCCCAUCAAAUUAUAAACUUGUUAUCCGGGUUUUUAAUAAAUUUUAGGUUUCCACCAUCACUAAAGACACACGAUAAGAAACAUAACGUCCAGUGCCAAAUAUUUCAUGCAUAAGUUUUAUAGAUUCUUUUUUUUUAUGAAUAUUACUGUUAUGUGAUCAACGCCGGUUUUAAAUGCAAAUUUAUUUUGUAGUGUAUAAAUAAACUUUAGAAUGUUGAUUACGUAUUGUCCAGUUGCAAGUACUUUAUGCAUAUUUAGAGCGCACAAUAGUUUUGCAAGUUUUAAUGUUUUUACAGUUGUACUGUACACAUUAACUUUAAACUAAACUUUAAACUGAUGAUCGCGUAUUGUCCAGUUGCAAGUAUGUCAUGCAUAUUUAGAGAGAACAUACAAGUUUUAAUGUUUUUGCAGUUCUAUUUAGAGAGAACAUAGGCUACCUGUUUUUUUUUUUUUUUUUUUUUUACAUUUUAACAUACAUGUUUUAAUGUUUUUACUGUUCUUUUGUUAAGAUAAACUCUAGACUGCUGGUUGCAUAUUGUCCAGUUGCAAGUAUUUCAUGCAAAUUAGAGAAAACAUACAAGUUUUAAUGUUUUUUUUCAGUUCUACUGAAUAAAUUAACUUUAGACUGUUGAUUGCGAAUUGUCCAGUUGUCAGUAUUUCAUGCAUAAUUAGAGAGAACAUUAAAGUUUUAACGCGCAGAGAAAGGGACACUUUGACCCGUUAACUGUACUGUUUAACUCAACAUGUUUGCUUACAAUUUACAAACGAAAUAGCCGAAAUGACGCCCCCACUUUAAGCCAGUUUAAUUCUUCCGUUUUGAAAAAGUACUAACGUGCUUAUGUAUAUUUUUAAUGAAAUGGUAAAAUUAGUAUACGUUAAUGAAAUAGCAAUAACCAAAUAACGCUUGAUAUGGACACGUUUUGGGGAUUGGACACGUUUGGGGGUUAGUUGAGAAAUGGACACGUUUGGGCGUUUAUACAAAUGACACGCUUUGGCGCAGUUUUCAACUAGACAUGUUUGGGGGAAUCGGACACGUUUGGGGGAAGGACACGUUUCUGAGUGUUACAUCAUAUAUGUAACUCACUAGAUGUUUUAUCUUAGAUAUAUACAAAUCAAAUCAUUAGUAUUUUAUCAUAUCAACCAUGAGUAGGAGGCAGUAUCACUUUACAGUAAUACAGAAAGUUCUGUUUAGGAGGAUUAAUUGAGUAAUGGCAAU
RNAcentral lists this long non-coding RNA (1895 nucleotides) under Mytilus galloprovincialis (Mediterranean mussel). The record is from RNAcentral. Lineage: Eukaryota; Metazoa; Mollusca; Bivalvia; Mytilida; Mytilidae.